UGGGGAAUAUUGCACAAUGGGGGAAACCCUGAUGCAGCAACGCCGCGUGAAGGACGAAGGCCUUCGGGUCGUAAACUUCUAUCGACAGGGACGAAUAAAUGACGGUACCUGAGUAAGAAGCCCCGGCUAACUACGUGCCAGCAGCCGCGGUAAUACGUAGGGGGCAAGCGUUAUCCGGAUUUACUGGGCGUAAAGGGUGAGUAGGCGGCAUGGUAAGUCAUAUGUGAAAGCCCCGGGCUUAACCCGGGGACUGCAUGAGAAACUGCCGUGCUUGAGUGCAGGAGAGGUAAGCGGAAUUCCUAGUGUAGCGGUGAAAUGCGUAGAUAUUAGGAAGAACACCGGUGGCGAAGGCGGCUUACUGGACUGUAACUGACGCUGAGUCACGAAAGCGUGGGGAGCAAACA
This 404-nucleotide ribosomal RNA is filed under the name uncultured Lachnospiraceae bacterium. RNAcentral describes it as "partial 16S ribosomal RNA". It matches the Rfam family "Bacterial small subunit ribosomal RNA", at positions 355 to 774 of the family's 1533-position model. The record is from RNAcentral. Lineage: Bacteria; Bacillati; Bacillota; Clostridia; Lachnospirales; Lachnospiraceae.